UCGAGCGUGAAAGUCCUUCGGGAUGAGUAAAGCGGCGGACGGGUGAGUAACGCGUGAGAAUUUCCCUUUCAGUGAAGAAUACCUUUGAGAAAUUAAAGUUAAUACUGCAUACGUCUCGAUAAGAGAGAAAGAUGGCCUAAUUGCUGUCGCUGAAAGAUAAGCUUGCGUUCUAUUAGCUAGUUGGUGAGGUAAUGGCUCACCAAGGCGAUGAUGGAUAGCCGGCCUGAGAGGGCGAACGGCCACAUUGGAACUUAGACACGGUCCAAACUCC
Molecule: ribosomal RNA, 271 nt
Filed under: uncultured bacterium
Lineage: Bacteria
Description: partial 16S ribosomal RNA
Rfam family: Bacterial small subunit ribosomal RNA
Source: RNAcentral